UGGGACAGCUAAUACAUAAAAACAUGGGGCUUAUUCUUUGUAUUGUUUACGUGGUGCUGAUCAGUCCACCGAGAUCGAUGUUUUCUGGUUGUAAAGUAGACGUCGUACCCGAUCCUGAGCUGCGUUACGCAGAGGGUGCAAAUUUCCUCCGUAGAACACGUGCUGAGAUCUCGAAUAGCAAAGACAUUUCGCGGUGCGUUGUAGAUAUUCGGCCGAAGCUGAGAUUCCUCUGCACCCUCUUCUAGAGACUUUUGGAACACAGAGAAUUCUUGACAAACGGAUGCUGAUCGGGCUUGUGAUUAUUCUAUCCCCGUCAGACUGAAAGAGAGAGGGCUACACAAAGACAACGGAUUGAAACUACACCACAAUCGAGCAUCGCAUAUAAACACCAUCUGAAAAUACUACAAAACUGAGUCGUUAUGUCAAAGUAAACGGCCCUCUACAUUAAA
This is a long non-coding RNA of Pocillopora damicornis (cauliflower coral), 449 nucleotides long. RefSeq lists it as uncharacterized. Lineage: Eukaryota; Metazoa; Cnidaria; Anthozoa; Scleractinia; Pocilloporidae. The record is from RefSeq and is a predicted model, not a curated record.